This is a long non-coding RNA of Capra hircus (goat), 298 nucleotides long. RefSeq lists it as uncharacterized. The record is from RefSeq and is a predicted model, not a curated record. Lineage: Eukaryota; Metazoa; Chordata; Mammalia; Artiodactyla; Bovidae. The transcript has 2 exons.
UCUGGACAGGAAGAAAGGGCUCCGGCAUAGAAUGAAAACCUUGGCAUGUGCGGAUGGAUCGUAAAUAUGUUCCUUGGUGACUCAAGACAGAAAGAUGCAGGUGAGGGUCCAGCUGCCUGGGCCCACCGGCCCCCUACUCUGUAGCCAUAAAUUUAAGGAAUGACGGCAGAGACGGAACAGAAGAGAUGAAGAGAAUGAAAAACCCACUCACAACACAGAUGUGGCCUGGCUGAAUUACAUUCAGACCAGCGGCAGUUUUGGUUACCACCGUUUCCUUACUAAACAAGUCUAUUUUGUA